This 497-nucleotide ribosomal RNA is filed under the name uncultured bacterium. RNAcentral's name for it is "partial 16S ribosomal RNA". It matches the Rfam family "Bacterial small subunit ribosomal RNA", at positions 28 to 507 of the family's 1533-position model. The record is from RNAcentral.
GAUGAACGCUGGCGGCGUGCCUAAUACAUGCAAGUCGAGCGAACGGACGAGAAGCUUGCUUCUCUGAUGUUAGCGGCGGACGGGUGAGUGACACGUGGAUAACCUACCUAUAAGGCUGGGAUAACUUCGGGAAACCGGAGCUAAUACCGGAUAAUAUUUUGAACCGCAUGGUUCAAAAGUGAAAGACGGUCUUGCUGUCACUUAUAGAUGGAUCCGCGCUGCAUUAGCUAGUUGGUAAGGUAACGGCUUACCAAGGCAACGAUGCAUAGCCGACCUGAGAGGGUGAUCGGCCACACUGGAACUGAGACACGGUCCAGACUCCUACGGGAGGCAGCAGUAGGGAAUCUUCCGCAAUGGGCGAAAGCCUGACGGAGCAACGCCGCGUGAGUGAUGAAGGUCUUCGGAUCGUAAAACUCUGUUAUUAGGGAAGAACAUAUGUGUAAGUAACUGUGCACAUCUUGACGGUACCUAAUCAGAAAGCCACGGCUAACUACGUG